Molecule: ribosomal RNA, 119 nt
Filed under: Helianthus annuus (common sunflower)
Lineage: Eukaryota; Viridiplantae; Streptophyta; Magnoliopsida; Asterales; Asteraceae
Source: RNAcentral
GGUUGCGAUCAUACCAGCACUAAUGCACCGGAUCCCAUCAGAACUCUGCAGUUAAGCGUGCUUGGGCGAGAGUAAUACUAGGAUGGGUGACCCCCUGGGAAGUCCUCGUGUUGCAACCC